UGAGGAAUAUUGGUCAAUGGGCGAGAGCCUGAACCAGCCAAGUAGCGUGCAGGAAGACGGCCCUAUGGGUUGUAAACUGCUUUUAUGUGGGGAUAAAGUGCGUGACGUGUCAUGCAUUGCAGGUACCACAUGAAUAAGGACCGGCUAAUUCCGUGCCAGCAGCCGCGGUAAUACGGAAGGUCCGGGCGUUAUCCGGAUUUAUUGGGUUUAAAGGGAGCGUAGGCUGUCUAUUAAGCGUGUUGUUAAAUAUACCGGCUCAACCGGUGGCUUGCAGCGCGAACUGGUCGACUUGAGUAUGCAGGAAGUAGGCGGAAUUCAUGGUGUAGCGAUGAAAUGCUUAGAUAUCAUGACGAACUCCGAUUGCGCAGGCAGCUUACUGUAGCAUAACUGACGCUGAUGCUCGAAAGUGCGGGUAUCAAACAGG
Molecule: ribosomal RNA, 424 nt
Filed under: Verrucomicrobiota bacterium
Lineage: Bacteria; Pseudomonadati; Verrucomicrobiota
Description: Verrucomicrobia bacterium partial 16S ribosomal RNA
Rfam family: Bacterial small subunit ribosomal RNA
Source: RNAcentral